AAGAAACAGUGGCUAUUGGGAAAUUGAAAUUCACCAAUUCAAUUGGGGGAUCAAUCACAAUUUUUCCGAUGUAGUAGGUACAACAUGUUUCCUGUAAUUUUCUUAGCUAUUUUUGUAGGUAUUAUAAGUUUUACAAAUGCUGUUCCUCAAGAGAAACGUAUUGAGCUGACAGUUGUCAUAUGCCUAACUCUUGCAUUUGUGGUGUUAAUAAUUGCAGUAUAUUAUUGGUGCAGAAGUAUCAAUUGUAGAAAAAGAAGGGGCGGAAACGGAGACGAAGAAAACCAAAAUAAAGGAAAUGUAAAUCAAAACCAGGAAACCCAACCUCCUAGAUAUUAAAAUGGUCCUUAUACAUAUAUUGUAUGCUUUAUUUCUAUAAUGAACUAAUAAAAAUUUGCUCAAAAUCA
Long non-coding RNA from Sitophilus oryzae (rice weevil), 404 nucleotides. RefSeq lists it as uncharacterized. The transcript has 2 exons. NCBI's taxonomy places the organism in Eukaryota, Metazoa, Arthropoda, Insecta, Coleoptera, Curculionidae. The record is from RefSeq and is a predicted model, not a curated record.